CGUUAGAUGUUUGAGAGGGCUUGAUUCUAGUACGAGAGGACCGAAUUGAACAAACCUCUGGUGUAUCAGUUGUACCGCCAGGUGCACCGCUGAGUAGCUACGUUUGGAAGAGAUAAUCACUGAUUGCAUAUUAGUGAGAAAAUCGCCUCAAGAUGAGACAUCUUUUAAGGGUCGUUGUAGAUGACGACGUUGAUAGGCUAUAGGUGUAAAGACAGUAAUGUCAUAGCCAAGUAGUACUAAUUACCCGUAGAUUUAUAGUC
Molecule: ribosomal RNA, 260 nt
Filed under: Chryseobacterium metallicongregator
Lineage: Bacteria; Pseudomonadati; Bacteroidota; Flavobacteriia; Flavobacteriales; Weeksellaceae
Description: partial 23S ribosomal RNA
Rfam family: Bacterial large subunit ribosomal RNA
Source: RNAcentral